CCUACGGGGGGCAGCAGUGGGGAAUAUUGCUCAAUGGGGGAAACCCUGAAGCAGCAACGCCGCGUGGAGGAUGAAGGUUUUCGGAUUGUAAACUCCUUUUGUUAGAGAAGAUAAUGACGGUAUCUAACGAAUAAGCACCGGCUAACUCCGUGCCAGCAGCCGCGGUAAUACGGAGGGUGCAAGCGUUACUCGGAAUGACUGGGCGUAAAGAGCGCGUAGGCGGGAUAGCAAGUCAGAUGUGAAAUCCUAUGGCUUAACCAGAGAACUGCAUUUGAAACUGUUAUUCUAGAGUAUGGGAGAGGUAGGUGGAAUUCUUGGUGUAGGGGUAAAAUCCGUAGAGAUAAAGAGGAAUACUCAUUGCGAAGGCGACCUGCUGGAACAUUACUGACGCUGAUGCACGAAAGCGUGGGGAGCAAACAGGAUUAGAUACCCCUGUAGUC
This 440-nucleotide ribosomal RNA is filed under the name uncultured bacterium. RNAcentral describes it as "partial 16S ribosomal RNA". It matches the Rfam family "Bacterial small subunit ribosomal RNA", at positions 338 to 795 of the family's 1533-position model. The record is from RNAcentral.